GACGAACGCUGGCGGCGUGCUUAACACAUGCAAGUCGAACGGAAAGGCCCUGCUUUUGUGGGGUGCUCGAGUGGCGAACGGGUGAGUAACACGUGAGUAACCUGCCCUUGACUUUGGGAUAACUUCAGGAAACUGGGGCUAAUACCGGAUAGGAGCUCCUGCUGCAUGGUGGGGGUUGGAAAGUUUCGGCGGUUGGGGAUGGACUCGCGGCUUAUCAGCUUGUUGGUGGGGUAGUGGCUUACCAAGGCUUUGACGGGUAGCCGGCCUGAGAGGGUGACCGGCACCAUUGGAACUGGGAUCCGGCCAAGACUCCUACGGGAGCAAGAGGUGGGGAAUAUUGCACAAUGGGCGGAAGCCUGAUGCAGCAACGCAGGGUGCGGGAUGACGGCCUUCGGGUUGUAACCCGCUUUCGCCUGUGACGAAGCGUGAGUGACGGUAAUGGGUAAAGAAGCACCGGCUAACUACGUG
This 468-nucleotide ribosomal RNA is filed under the name uncultured bacterium. RNAcentral describes it as "partial 16S ribosomal RNA". It matches the Rfam family "Bacterial small subunit ribosomal RNA", at positions 28 to 507 of the family's 1533-position model. The record is from RNAcentral.